This 253-nucleotide ribosomal RNA is filed under the name uncultured bacterium. RNAcentral describes it as "partial 16S ribosomal RNA". It matches the Rfam family "Bacterial small subunit ribosomal RNA", at positions 524 to 776 of the family's 1533-position model. The record is from RNAcentral.
UACGAAGGGGGCUAGCGUUGCUCGGAAUCACUGGGCGUAAAGGGUGCGUAGGCGGGUCUUUAAGUCAGGGGUGAAAUCCUGGAGCUCAACUCCAGAACUGCCUUUGAUACUGGAAGACUUGAGUCCGGGAGAGGUGAGUGGAACUGCGAGUGUAGAGGUGAAAUUCGUAGAUAUUCGCAAGAACACCAGUGGCGAAGGCGGCUCACUGGCCCGGUACUGACGCUGAGGUGCGAAAGCGUGGGGAGCAAACAGG